Molecule: unclassified non-coding RNA, 296 nt
Filed under: Penicillium sp.
Lineage: Eukaryota; Fungi; Ascomycota; Eurotiomycetes; Eurotiales; Aspergillaceae
Description: partial contains 5.8S ribosomal RNA, internal transcribed spacer 2, and large subunit ribosomal RNA
Rfam family: 5.8S ribosomal RNA (bases 1-71)
Source: RNAcentral
GUGAGUCAUCGAAUCUUUGAACGCACAUUGCGCCCCCUGGUAUUCCGGGGGGCAUGCCUGUCCGAGCGUCAUUGCUGCCCUCAAGCACGGCUUGUGUGUUGGGCUCCGCCCCCCUCCCGGGGGGCGGGCCCGAAAGGCAGCGGCGGCACCGCGUCCGGUCCUCGAGCGUAUGGGGCUUCGUCACCCGCUCUGUAGGCCCGGCCGGCGCCCGCCGGCGACCCCAAUCAAUCUUUCCAGGUUGACCUCGGAUCAGGUAGGGAUACCCGCUGAACUUAAGCAUAUCAAUAAGCGGAGGA